RNAcentral lists this ribosomal RNA (599 nucleotides) under Alteromonas sp. RNAcentral describes it as "bacterial SSU rRNA". It matches the Rfam family "Bacterial small subunit ribosomal RNA", at positions 81 to 682 of the family's 1533-position model. The record is from RNAcentral. Lineage: Bacteria; Pseudomonadati; Pseudomonadota; Gammaproteobacteria; Alteromonadales; Alteromonadaceae.
CACUUCGCUGACGAGUGGCGGACGGGUGAGUAAUGCUUGGGAACUUGCCUUUGCGAGGGGGAUAACAGUUGGAAACGACUGCUAAUACCGCAUAAUGUCUACGGACCAAACGGGGCUUAGGCUCCGGCGCAAAGAGAGGCCCAAGUGAGAUUAGCUAGUUGGUAAGGUAAAGGCUUACCAAGGCAACGAUCUCUAGCUGUUCUGAGAGGAAGAUCAGCCACACUGGGACUGAGACACGGCCCAGACUCCUACGGGAGGCAGCAGUGGGGAAUAUUGCACAAUGGGGGAAACCCUGAUGCAGCCAUGCCGCGUGUGUGAAGAAGGCCUUCGGGUUGUAAAGCACUUUCAGUUGUGAGGAAAAGUUAGUAGUUAAUACCUGCUAGCCGUGACGUUAACAACAGAAGAAGCACCGGCUAACUCCGUGCCAGCAGCCGCGGUAAUACGGAGGGUGCGAGCGUUAAUCGGAAUUACUGGGCGUAAAGCGCACGCAGGCGGUUUGUUAAGCUAGAUGUGAAAGCCCCGGGCUCAACCUGGGAUGGUCAUUUAGAACUGGCAGACUAGAGUCUUGGAGAGGGGAGUGGAAUUCCAGGUGUAGCGGU